CGGUGGAGCAUGUGGUUUAAUUCGAAGCAACGCGAAGAACCUUACCAGGUCUUGACAUCCCGAUGCUAUUCUAGAGAUAGAAAGUUACUUCGGUACAUCGGUGACAGGUGGUGCAUGGUUGUCGUCAGCUCGUGUCGUGAGAUGUUGGGUUAAGUCCCGCAACGAGCGCAACCCUUAUUGUUAGUUGCCAUCAUUCAGUUGGGCACUCUAGCGAGACUGCCGGUAAUAAACCGGAGGAAGUGGGGAUGACGUCAAAUCAUCAUGCCCCUUAUGACCUGGGCUACACACGUGCUACAAUGGUUGGUACAACGAGUUGCGAGUCGGUGACGGCGAGCUAAUCUCUUAAAGCCAAUCUCAGUUCGGAUUGUAGGCUGCAACUCGCCUACAUGAAGUCGGAAUCGCUAGUAAUCGCGGAUCAGCACGCCGCGGUGAAUACGUUCCCGGGCCUU
RNAcentral lists this ribosomal RNA (449 nucleotides) under uncultured Streptococcus sp. Its description in RNAcentral is "bacterial SSU rRNA". It matches the Rfam family "Bacterial small subunit ribosomal RNA", at positions 930 to 1382 of the family's 1533-position model. Lineage: Bacteria; Bacillati; Bacillota; Bacilli; Lactobacillales; Streptococcaceae. The record is from RNAcentral.